GCGGGGAGGAGCUUGCUUCUCUGCCGGCGAGUGGCGAACGGGUGAGUAAUACAUCGGAACGUGUCGAGUAAGAGGGGGAUAACCACCCGAAAGGGUGGCUAAUACCGCAUAAAUUCUGAGGAAGAAAGCUGGGGACCUGGGAAUAGGCCUAGCGCUUUUUGAGCGGCCGAUGUCGGAUUAGCUAGUUGGUGAGGUAAAGGCUCACCAAGGCGAAGAUCUGUAGCGGGUCUGAGAGGAUGAUCCGCCACACUGGGACUGAGACACGGCCCAGACUCCUACGGGAGGCAGCAGUGGGGAAUUUUGGACAAUGGGGGCAACCCUGAUCCAGCCAUGCCGCGUGUAUGAAGAAGGCCUUAGGGUUGUAAAGUACUUUUGUUAGGGAAGAAAAGUCAGCUGUGAAUAAUGGCUGAUACUGACGGUACCUAAGGAAUAAGCACCGGCUAACUACGUGCCAGCAGCCGCGGUAAUACGUAGGGUGCGAGCGUUAAUCGGAAUUAUUGGGCGUAAAGCGAGUGU
This 516-nucleotide ribosomal RNA is filed under the name uncultured Pseudomonadota bacterium. RNAcentral's name for it is "bacterial SSU rRNA". It matches the Rfam family "Bacterial small subunit ribosomal RNA", at positions 68 to 572 of the family's 1533-position model. The record is from RNAcentral. Lineage: Bacteria; Pseudomonadati; Pseudomonadota.